This 403-nucleotide ribosomal RNA is filed under the name Papilio castor castor. RNAcentral's name for it is "partial 16S ribosomal RNA". The record is from RNAcentral. Lineage: Eukaryota; Metazoa; Arthropoda; Insecta; Lepidoptera; Papilionidae.
GGGCUGCAGUAUUUUGACUGUACAAMGGUAGCAUAAUCAAUAGUCUUUUAAUUGGUGACUUGUAUGAAAGAUUGGAUGAAAUAUAUACUGUCUYUAAAUAAUUUUUAGAAAUUAAUUUUUUAGUUAAAAAGCUAAAAUAAUUUUAAAAGACGAGAAGACCCUAUAGAGUUUAAUAAUUUAUUUUAUUGUUAUUAUUAUAUAAUUUUUAAAAUUAAAAUUAAAUAAAUUAUUUUGUUGGGGUGAUAAAAAAAUUAAAUUAACUUUUUUUAGUUUUUUACAUUGAUUUAUGAUUAUAUGAUCCAUUAAUAGUGAUAAAAAGAAAAAAUUACCUUAGGGAUAACAGCGUAAUUUUUUUUUUUAGUUCAAAUAGGAAAAAAAGUUUGCGACCUCGAUGUUGGAUUAA